AGGUAAGGCUGAAGGAGCUGAAGUCCAAGAAGAGACAAAGCCUAUAUGAAAACCAAGCUUGAACCAGACAGGAGACACCGCCACAUCUGAUUAUCAGAAGCCUUAACUGUCAGAACCUGCAAUCGAGGCCGAGUGGCCGCCGUUCCUUCCUGCACAAGCUGACGUGCCUGGACGCUGCCUGCGGGGCGAGGACCACUGUGCAGUGUCCCCGGAUCCGGACCAGAAGGCCCAUUCUCAACACAUACCCGUUCAUCUUCCUAGAUAGCACUUAAGGCAGGGAAAGAAGUCAGGCUGCCCAGAAAUGGCCCCGCUGGUGCGUAUGUUCAAAUGUGCAUUUUCUACCUACGUUUCGACACCUUCAGCAGCUCCAGGGACAUCGACGUGAGGCUCGACUGGCUCCCUUCACUCUGCAAAGCACCUGAGUUGUGAAAGCACCUCUUCACCACACCCCAGGGCCGGACGCUUUCUGGAAGGACAUUUCCAAGGAAGAUCAAACCGUUUAUUUUUGGUCGCGGUCCCAGCCCAAGGCAGUGCUGCUGGUUUGGGUUUCUUGAUUGCUUCGGGGGUGAGCUCCUUUCCCCUCCCAGGAAUCAGCAGUUCUGAUUUCUAAAACCUACCCUCACUCUUCCGAGUAUUUAUCUUCCCAAUGGGGGCUUAGCUGGCCUGUGUCAUUGUUCGUCAUUGUCGUUUGCUUUAGAAGGCGAUAAAGCAAUAAUCUAGCCAAUUUUCUUUGAAACUUGAUCUGUACAUAUGUUUUGACGUUACUCGUGUGAAUAGUUUGCUUCGAAGUAUCCGAUCACCUCAGGUUAUCUCACCCCUAUCCCCGCUUUUACAGGUGUGUCAUUGUCACCCAU
Tupaia belangeri chinensis (Chinese tree shrew) is the source of this 854-nucleotide long non-coding RNA. RefSeq lists it as uncharacterized. NCBI's taxonomy places the organism in Eukaryota, Metazoa, Chordata, Mammalia, Scandentia, Tupaiidae. The record is from RefSeq and is a predicted model, not a curated record. The transcript has 2 exons.